RNAcentral lists this transfer RNA (78 nucleotides) under Marmota monax (woodchuck). Its description in RNAcentral is "tRNA.Ala". Lineage: Eukaryota; Metazoa; Chordata; Mammalia; Rodentia; Sciuridae. The record is from RNAcentral.
GGGUUUGUGGCUCAGUGGUAGAGUUCUUGCCUAGCAUGCAAGAACUAGCAAGGGUGUGUGGUUCGAUCCUCAGCACCA